AAAGCACCAAAGAAGGUCCUGGGACAGAAAUGCAGAAAUCCAGGGAACAGGUCCUUCAGACUGUCAACUGAGGUGUGUCUGAGUUCCCAGGGAACUGUCCACCACCGCUGAGGCUGAAAUCAGAAUUGGCUGGAGGAGAUGCGGAACACGGGAGCCACAGCACCUGGGACCUCUACCUAGAACUCUUCGACAAAAGUGAAAAUAGAUGAGCAUGGAUCCUGGCGGAUAAUAAGCAACUCAGUGCACUCAAUAAGUAAGGGCUGCAAGUAGGUGUGCUGAGUAACUUGUAACUCCACAAGUACUACAUGGUCAACUCAAAAUAACAGAAUCCAAUCUGGGAAUUGCACGUUACAUUUAGUUAUCAUAUCUUUUCAAUCCACACCUUUAAAGCAGUCUGGCUACUUACUGGGUAGAAAGUCCCUUGAUUUGGAUUUGUUGAUUUCUCCCAUGAUCGCAUGGAGGUUCUGCAUUAGAGAGUGUCUCUGUCAUAUUACCGACCAUCCAGCAAAACCCUCGUGUAUCACAGAAGCGGAAACUGCUACCCCAAGAAGUUGCUAAGUCAUGUCCAACUCUUUGCAACCCCAUGGACUGCAGCACGCCAGGCUUACCUGUUCUUUACCACUUCCUAGAAUUUGCUACAACUCGCGUCCAUUGAAUUGGUAAUGCUAUCUAACCAUCUCAUCCUCUGCCAACCCCUUCUCCUUUUGCCUUCAAUCUUUCCCAGCAUCAGGGUCUUUUCCAAUGAGCUGGCUCUUCGCAUCAGGUGGCUAAAGUACUGGAGCUUCAGCUUCAGCAACA
Molecule: long non-coding RNA, 798 nt
Organism: Dama dama (fallow deer)
Lineage: Eukaryota; Metazoa; Chordata; Mammalia; Artiodactyla; Cervidae
Exons: 4
Source: RefSeq, a predicted model, not a curated record